Molecule: ribosomal RNA, 372 nt
Filed under: uncultured organism
Description: partial 16S ribosomal RNA
Rfam family: Bacterial small subunit ribosomal RNA
Source: RNAcentral
GUAGGUGGCAAGCGUUGUCCGGAAUUAUUGGGCGUAAAGCGCGCGCGGGCGGUUCUUUAAGUCUGAUGUGAAAGCCCACGGCUCAACCGUGGAGGGUCAUUGGAAACUGGAGAACUUGAGUACAGAAGAGGAAAGCGGAAUUCCACGUGUAGCGGUGAAAUGCGUAGAGAUGUGGAGGAACACCAGUGGCGAAGGCGGCUUUCUGGUCUGUAACUGACGCUGAGGCGCGAAAGCGUGGGGAGCAAACAGGGAUUAGAUACCCUGGCAGUCCACGCCGUAAACGAUGAGUGCUAAGUGUUAGGGGGUUUCCGCCCCCUUAGUGCUGCAGCUAACGCAUUAAGCACUCCGCCUGGGGAUACGGCCGCAAGGCUG